CCUACGGGAGGCAGCAGUGAGGAAUAUUGGUCAAUGGACGCAAGUCUGAACCAGCCAUGCCGCGUGCAGGAAGACGGCGCUAUGAGUUGUAAACUGCUGUUGUACGAGGGUAAACGCAGAUACGCGUAUCUGUCUGAAAGUAUCGUACGAAUAAGGAUCGGCUAACUCCGUGCCAGCAGCCGCGGUAAUACGGAGGAGUCAAGCGUUAUCCGGAGUUAUGGGGUUUAAAGGGUGCGUAGGCGGUCGGAGAAGGUAGAGGUGAAAUCCCGAGGCUCAACUUCGGAAUUGCCUCUGAUACUGUUCGGCUAGAGCGUAGUUGCGGUAGGCGGCCU
Molecule: ribosomal RNA, 332 nt
Filed under: uncultured bacterium
Lineage: Bacteria
Description: partial 16S ribosomal RNA
Rfam family: Bacterial small subunit ribosomal RNA
Source: RNAcentral